GGGGAAUAUUGCACAAUGGGCGCAAGCCUGAUGCUGCGACGCCGCGUGGGGGAUGACGGCCUUCGGGUUGUAAACCUCUUUCAGUAGGGACGAAGGGUGACCGACGGUACCUACAGAAGAAGCACCGGCCAACUACGUGCCAGCAGCCGCGGUAAUACGUAGGGUGCAAGCGUUGUCCGGAAUUACUGGGCGUAAAGAGCUCGUAGGUGGUUUGUCGCGUUGUUCGUGAAAACUCACAGCUUAACUGUGGGCGUGCGGGCGAUACGGGCAGACUAGAGUACUGCAGGGGAGACUGGAAUUCCUGGUGUAGCGGUGGAAUGCGCAGAUAUCAGGAGGAACACCGGUGGCGAAGGCGGGUCUCUGGGCAGUAACUGACGCUGAGGAGCGAAAGCGUGGGGAGCGAAC
This 405-nucleotide ribosomal RNA is filed under the name uncultured bacterium. RNAcentral describes it as "bacterial SSU rRNA". It matches the Rfam family "Bacterial small subunit ribosomal RNA", at positions 356 to 773 of the family's 1533-position model. The record is from RNAcentral.